RNAcentral lists this long non-coding RNA (5672 nucleotides) under Bemisia tabaci. Its description in RNAcentral is "lncRNA ENSSWEETPG012629". The record is from RNAcentral. Lineage: Eukaryota; Metazoa; Arthropoda; Insecta; Hemiptera; Aleyrodidae.
UUGCUCAAAUUUUGUUAGCAACUGUUUGCGCGUUGUAUCAAUUCUAUAUUUUACACUUCACCCUUUGUGUCAGCAGGUGAUAUGCGUAGAAAACUCUGAAUUGAUCUCAAAUGCGAGAAAAAAGUGACGGAUUCUGAUUCGGAGUCACAAAGUGACGGAGACCCGGCUGGAGACAAAGCUUUUCUUCAGCAAAGGUUCAGUCCUGUUUCUCAUAACAGCAAUAGCGGGGAAGUAACUUGCCGACCAAAGCCCAUAAAAGCAAGGCUGGCCUCAGAAUCGAAUAGCUUACCCAGUACAGGUGAGACUGUAGCGGUUUUGUCUUACCCUUAUCAUUCACCUGUCAACCCCACUGGUAUUUCUGGUUUUCAACCUACAGGCGGGGCUUUCAAAACUAUGCCUGCCUCUCCAAAAGUUAUAAAAUCAGAACCCAUCCAAAUGCAAACUACCAGCACCGUAUGGAGUGGGAAUAGAUCAUCCGAACCGGUGACAACUUCUUGGACGUCUGUCACGAAUUUGUUGUCACCAGUAGUCACUGUUGCUGCUGUUUCCACUGCUGUUACCUCAUCCUCUUGGACUCCAAACAAAACGACAGUCGCCAACAUUAUCUGGAGCUCAUCUCCUGCCAGCAUAACCACGAACGCAUCUGUCAGCACCAACUCCUGGGCAACAACUGAUGCUGCAACAGACUCUCCUCGGUGGUCCGAUUCCACGACAGUGUCCGUUGCACAGAACCCGCCCCCCACCAAUAAAAUAUUCAAUGUAAAAACUACGUUAUCUCAGCCGCUUGCAUCUUACCAUUACAUUCCGUCAUCAGCAGUGAAGCUUACAACCACGGAUCAGCUCGUGAACAAUGUCAUGACUACUAGAAAACUAGACCUUAAGCCGGUUGCUCAAGGUCAAUAUUCCCUGAUAAACUUUACGCCGAGUUUAUCAAAUAUGAAAUUCAUUUCUAGUCAGAAUGUUUCAACUGUCGGUCAGCAGCCAUUGCAGAAAACUGUGCUUGCGCCUCAAGCGAAUGUGCGGACCGCACAGGUCUUGAGUAGCACAACAAUUUUACAACCACAGAUCAUCGGUAAAAGUGCAGGAAAUCAAAACGUUACAACUAGCGGGUCUCUUAUAGUUCAAUCCCAAGGGUCAGUGAAAAGUCGUUACCAAUUUUGCAGACUACUUCUGUUCGGCCUUCCGGUCCGUCAACACAUCAGAGCCAACCGCUGACCCUUCUGCUCAGUGAUCAGUAUGUCACUUUGCUGAAACCCUCUAGCCAAAUUGUUGAAGUCGAUUCAUCUACAACUGGUGCAAAUUCGGAGCCGCUUCAGUAUGUUUUAAGCACACCUGGCACGAGGGUACAGAAUGUUUAUCUCCCACAUCAAGGCGGCUUUCAAAUCCCGAUCUCAAGUAAGUGCUCUUGUUUCUUUCACUUAAAAUUUUGAUUUCUUUUACAGAAGCAACAAACAAAAUAAUUGCUUCUAUCAACUCAAGAGACAGUUAAAUCAGUCAGUGCAUUGUAGAAAUUUUUUCAGCACAGCAUUUUUCAUUAAGUGAAUUUAAAAUCAGAAUUUGAAUUGUGACAGAAAUCCUCGAAUAUUCUGUAGAAUAAGGUAUAAGUAUUUUAGCAAUCUCCUAACCAAUAUAGGGCAUGAGUUUGUAUUUUAUUUGGAUAGAUUUCAGCUCACAACUUAUAAUUUCAAGCAUCUUUUCCUCAAAAUUAUUCUUUUAACCUUCUAAUUUUUUUUAUUUCAAGCCAUCAUGAUUCUUGCUUGAUCUGUAAUUUUUGUGUCUAAAUGUUCACAAAGCACUGCCAAGCUGUGCUACCAGCAAUUUAUUACUUUCCUUCAUCCUGUGGAGGGUCACAUUUUCCCAGUCUACGCUUUGCGAGGCACCAGUACCAUAGUCAAUAUUGAAACGCCUAGUUUUCCUGGUUUCAAAAUCCAUUUUUACUGCGAAAACUGCUGAAGUUGCUAUUAAGUCUCCUCUUUUUUUCACUAAUUUUAAAGCUUCAUUGUUAAAUGAUUAUCCUGUUUGCAGCUGCUGAUGGAGGAGUUAGACAAGUAUCUGUGAAACCACCAUUGCAAUUAGUUGCAACCUCUCAAGCUCUCUCAGCUGCCUCAACUGUGAUCGUUAGCAAACCAAAUUCUCUCUCUAACCAGUGAGUACCGUUUUUAGCCUUCAUUUAUUCAUUCACUGUUUCACCAAAAUUUAAUAUGCCAUCAAUUUAGUUCUUCAGUCAAAAUCAUCUCCAAAUGUUGUCAACCACAAGAAGAAAGAAAAGGAAAUUAAAGAACGCCUUGUCAGUGAUUUCAAAAAUUUCAAUCCCCUCUUUGAUGAACUUGGUUAGAUAAUUGCUUCAGAGUAGCUUAGAGUACCUGUAUAGUGAGAGUAUGGACAGAUGUGAAACUCCGAAAAUCCAUCAGGCCUUCACCGUUGCCUCAGCGAAUAAAGUUAGGGCCCAGAAAUGCAGCUAACCUAUGAAUUUCAAUUAUCCAGAACGAUUUACUAAUACUAUUGUUACGAACCGUCGUUUAUAAAGCACGUAUUUGACUCAGUUUUUGCAUAAAUUUACUCAUUUUUGCGGAAGAACGCUCAUCUCUGUUAAUUCUUGGCCAUUUUGGUUAUAAUUGGAAUUUGUAAACUCUUACAGACUGGCAGUGAAAUUUUGUGUGUUAGAAGUUAGUUAGAAGGAUGGACUGCACUUUUGGGCCCUAAGACGUCCAUGUAGCGAUCUGUCCAUACUCUUACUAUACAGGUACUCUAGAGUAGCUGUCCUCACUCAUCAGUGCCUUUGAAAGUAGACUAAUUGAUGCUUGUGGAGGUCCUUACGAACAUUUGCCAACAAAGUUCAUCAUGAAGUGAGCUCAAUUCUUUAAACUAACUGAAUAAGUUUUUUUUUAAUUUCUCUCAUUUUUUUUUCGUUUGACAGCUCACAGUCUUGUAUCUUGUGUUUUGCUAAGUCAAAUUUUUAAAGUCAGAAAUGCAAACACAGUAAAGUAGACUUGUUAAACCUUUUGAGUCACUACAUCGUAAAGCACCAACUGACAGCACUGGAAUUAUAAUAAUGUAUUAAGGGAAGGAAUAAGUAGUUUAUUCAGGCAACGCUAACUGUUGUGCAGAAGUCUCAGUUUGCCGUGGCUUGUAAGUGACCACAGCUCCUGCAAUUCUCAUGUAGUGAAUGAGUGAGAAUGACUUGACUGCAUGAUUAUAAAAUCCACAUCGUUCAUGAAUAUUGCAUAAUAUUUUGUCGUUUGUUUUUGUUACUGAAGAACUAGCAACCAAGAAGACCCAAGUCAUGGUUACAACAGCAUUUGGAACAAGAGCAACAACAACAGCAGCAACAACAACAACAACAACAACAACAACAACAAGUACAGCAACAGAUCCAACAACAGCAGCAGCAACAACAAAUCCAACAGCAGCAAGUACAAACAACAAAUCCAGCAGCAACAGUACAACAGCAGAUUCAACAGCAACACCAACAGAUCCAGCAGCAACAACUACAACAGCAAUUGCAGCAAAAGCAGCAGCAAGAGAAGCAGCGGCAGUUUCAACUGCAGAGUCAGUUCGUACAAUCAAGACAAGAGAAUUCUAAUGUCGUGUUCGUCGUCUGACAAACAUACCCCUAGUGCCAUUUUUAGCUCUGGUAAGUUACGCGUCACCACUAAGAGUGAAUUGAUGAAAAAAACUAUAGCAGUUGAAGUUUUUUCAUUCAAGUAUCAAAUGUAUUUUGAUGACUUCAUUCUUCAAUAAAUUAGUUCAUAAAUUUUUUAACGUCCAGGGUAGGAGGGGGGAUCGGGGGAGAGCGUUAUGCCAUUUUGUUUUUAUGAGUUAAAGGAUAGGGACUUACAUCACUAAAGCGUUACGGGGGGCGGGGGGGUCUAACGAUGGUGUAAAAUUUGUGAACGCUCCCUAAAUUGAGUGAAAAAAUAGUGGCCACUUUUAUGAGUAUGAUUGUUACAAACUUUUAAACGCUUCCACAUUGUCAAAUGUUUCCAAGUUCCAUGCAUUUUAGGUAUCACACCAAAAGAAUUGCUUCACUUUAGAAAAGAAUUGUGAAAUUGAAUUUGGAUAAAUUGGUUUGCAGCCUGUAAAUUGUUUUCAAAAGUUUUGAUUUUCUUCCAAUUUUCAAGUUCCUGAAUGAACCAAAUUUUGGGAAAUGUGUAUUGUAAGCACUUAAAAUUCCUCGAAUUUAGGAAGUUUUAGUGUGAUUUGGUAGUUUUGUGUGUGUUAAAUUACAAUUAAACUAUAUUUUUCUCUUGACACAAAUCGUUUGAAGCAAUUGUAUUUCUCAUAGAUUUCGAAAUGUAUAAUUGAAAUCACUAAAAUAAAUCCUUCAAAAUAAAAAUUUUAUUUCCAUUAAUUUGUGCAUGUGUAUUCUAUGCGAUGUUACAGAGAAGUCCAGUGAACAGUCCUCGGGGAGCUCAGAUCGAAAUAAAAAUGACAGUGAUCUCUCUAUCCAUCCGUCAGUUAGUCAAAAGAUGCGCAGUACACUCACUUUGCGCUCUUUAACCAGAACAAAACUGACAGUCCUGGAAUCUCAAAUAGCUCAAAUACACGGGACCAUGCCGAAGAGUUUGAGACCUUCGUUCUUGCUCCCACCCCCCCUGCUCAAUUAGGCAAAGCGCCGCUACAGCGUCGACAAUCAAUGGGUAAACUUAAUUUUUCUUUCAUCAAAUCAUCUUUAUCAGUAAUAUUCACAGGAAAUUUGCAAUGUUUAAAUUACAAAUUUUGACAGAAUAGGAAGAGAGACAUGUGGAGGGUUGUCUUCGAAUCAUGCUGAACACGUUGGACACGACAGACUGAAAAAUUCCAAGAUCAAUUGAUAAAGUAGUUAAGAAAACAAAGUAUAAGAAAACAGGCCGAAUUUUUCAGUAAACCAGUACAAAACAACAGUUUAAUUAGCAACAACAAGUCGUAACCACCUGAAUAGUUAGUGAAAUUUCAGCAGCUGUAAAGAGCUAAUCUGAGGUCAAAUAGGCAUGUUACAAACUAAUUCCAGCCCUGCUAAUGUUCUGAUCAAUGGCAAGUUUAAGUUUUAAAAGCUGCCAAGCUUGUCAUUGUUAUAUUUUCUUUUUUCCUUUUCAGCCAUGAUGUCUUCGUCGUCUGAAAACCAGCAAAGUAUGGACGACCCAAGAAUCCGGAGUUGUUUCGUCUCCAUCAACAAAACGUAGUUUCUUCAAGAAAACACAGAGGGACGGCCGUGACAGGUUUGAAACCAACGUUAAAAUUUCUGAAAUAUCUCAUUUCAAAACUUAAGAAUCAACAAAUAAGUUCUAACUGUCUUAAAAACGAGUGUUGAAUACUUAUUGUUAAAAAAGAACAUUUAGGAGUAUUCAAUAAUUAUCGGUUUAUCACUUUCUUUGUUUUUUUUUCUGUCUUUUCCCUGGCACUUUUAAUAUAGUACCUCAUAGAUAACUGAAAAAAACCCUUGUCCCGAGCAAAUAUCCUGUUUCUCUCUUAAAGACGGUCUUCUCCCAAGAAAUUUAUCUGGUUUCAAUGGAAUUUGCCAGUUUUUUUGUGCAUUGAACAAUAUAAGUAUUUUAUAUUUCUUCUGGUAGUAUGCUAAUCUCUUUGAUCUUUUAUUUUCAGAGUCCUCGAACGUGUUAAUUUUGAAAAGAAAUUUUCGUCGUUACCUGAAUUCAAACCUGAAGAUUUGUCAGUCUCCAAGUGCCCUUUCUGUA